RNAcentral lists this ribosomal RNA (684 nucleotides) under uncultured bacterium. Its description in RNAcentral is "bacterial SSU rRNA". It matches the Rfam family "Bacterial small subunit ribosomal RNA", at positions 186 to 848 of the family's 1533-position model. The record is from RNAcentral.
GCAUGGCCCAUGGAAGAAAAGGUGGCCUCUACCUGUAAGCUAUCGCCUGAAGAGGGGUUUGCGUCUGAUUAGCUGGUUGGAGGGGUAACGGCCCACCAAGGCGACGAUCAGUAGCCGGUCUGAGAGGAUGAACGGCCACACUGGAACUGAGACACGGUCCAGACUCCUACGGGAGGCAGCAGUGGGGAAUCUUCCGCAAUGGGCGAAAGCCUGACGGAGCAACGCCGCGUGAGUGAUGACGGCCUUCGGGUUGUAAAACUCUGUGAUCCGGGACGAAAAGGCAGAGUGCGAAGAACAAACUGCAUUGACGGUACCGGAAAAGCAAGCCACGGCUAACUACGUGCCAGCAGCCGCGGUAAUACGUAGGUGGCAAGCGUUGUCCGGAAUUAUUGGGCGUAAAGCGCGCGCAGGCGGCUUCCCAAGUCCCUCUUAAAAGUGCGGGGCUUAACCCCGUGAUGGGAAGGAAACUGGGAAGCUGGAGUAUCGGAGAGGAAAGUGGAAUUCCUAGUGUAGCGGUGAAAUGCGUAGAGAUUAGGAAGAACACCGGUGGCGAAGGCGACUUUCUGGACGAAAACUGACGCUGAGGCGCGAAAGCGUGGGGAGCAAACAGGAUUAGAUACCCUGGUAGUCCACGCCGUAAACGAUGGAUACUAGGUGUAGGAGGUAUCGACCCCUCCUGUGCCG